Molecule: long non-coding RNA, 1414 nt
Organism: Mauremys mutica (yellowpond turtle)
Lineage: Eukaryota; Metazoa; Chordata; Testudines; Geoemydidae
Exons: 3
Source: RefSeq, a predicted model, not a curated record
UGUGGGCAAGACUCACCUCGACCCAAGAAGAGCAGGCCUGGGCAGAGCAGGGUGCCUGGACCCUGAUUGUAACAUCUCUCUUCCAGUCUCUGGCCCAGCCUCUUCCACAGACGUAUGCUGCAGCCAGCCCAGCUCAGAGAGCAGUGGGGACACAUGAUCUCAUCCUGUCAAGCCAAGCAACAUGGCUCCCAUUGAGGCUUAGAUGGAAGAUCCCAGGUAUCUCGUGGAGAGGACGUGUCUGGGAUCCUGGAGACUGUUUCCUGCUGGAGGUUUGAGCGGGGAGAGAUCACUCAGAAGAUCACUCGGGUCUGCAGGGUUCAUGGGAGCAGCCACACUCCAGCAGGCCAUCUGGAAGCCUACUAAAAACUGCUUACCUACGACUUACAAAGUCCAGACCCAGUUUGAGGCUCCAUCCCUGAGGCCUAUUGGCAGAGUCCCAGAGCAGCUAAUCGGCCCCCGGGACCUCCUUAAACCAACAGCAGGAACAAGAAGCUGUCUGCUCACCGGGGCUCCCCUGUCUUCUGGACCAUGUGACUCGCUGUGGCUCAUCUGAUUUGAGGGUCUGAACACAAUUUGGUCUUUUGCUUCUGCUCUUCCAGUAUCCUGACCCAGCUGACUCUCGACUCCUGUCUUCUGAGUGUAGACUCUGCCUCUGAGCACUAGGUCUAGCUGCUCAUGACCCGGCCAUGACACUGACUUUUCUACAAUUCCUCCAAUGCCCUUUUCUGCUCUCCAGCUCUGCUCUCCCAGCAAGACACACCAAUCCCCUGGCUCCCAAAGUCCUAGUUGCUGCUAUUCAAGGGCUCAGGGGUAGUGCGUGUAUUGCCCCCUCCCGCACCACAGCUGCUUUUCCUAUGAGAAUCUCCCUGUGCAGAGGAGAAAUCCGCUCUUCUCUUACAAUCAGUCCUGGCAGCAAUUCAGGAAGUCAUAGAAGGGACGGUCUGCUAAGCUCCCUCUGCAAUGCCACUGUCAGAGACCAAUCCUGGUGGGUGCCAAGUGAGUGUGCAGGCAGCUCCUUGAGAGACUCCUAGGGGCAGGGUAGUCGUGUUUCACGGUGACCUCUGAAAGCCAUGCAAAGAGUGCAGCAUUGAAGAGACUCUCCUGCUGUAACAAAGGGUUUCUGUUCUCCUACAUAAUCAGCCAGUGAGGCCAGUUUGCAGCAUGGGGAAGAGCUGUUUGGUGCCUUGUUGGAGGAUUCACCAUAUAGCUGGCAGCAGCUUCAGAUCCUGGAGUCCCUAUGAUAUGGUUACCAUGCAUCCGGAUUUUCCCAGACAUGUCCAGCUUUUUGGUUUUUAAAUAGCCGUCGGGAAGGAAUUUGUAAAAAUCUAAAGGUCCAUGAUUUCCCUCCCAAUGCCCGGGCCACCCGGGGGGGGAAAGUGGGGCAAUUUGCCCCAGGCCCUGGGCCCCGCAGGGG